AAAAGGUGCAUACUUUGCAUUACAUAUUUUUACAUUAAACCGUAAGAAUGAGGGGAUAGCGAGCAGCAACCAUUAUAGAAUCUGUGUGAUAUUGGUACUUCUAAUGGUAAGAAUGCAGUUUCCUUGAUUUGGAAGUAUUUCUACAAAUUAACUUCGCCAAUGUUCAGCCAUGGGGUUUUAGGAUAAUGAAUAAGUAGGAGUUAAACAAGCAAGACACAUAUCAUCAUCCCUCUAAUUGGAUGGUGGCUGCUCUUGUAUGUACCUAUCCAAUGGAUUAGAAAUUAAAUCACACAAAAAUGUGAUUCUUGACUUGUUGAGAAACUAAAAGAAAGAAUAUAAAGAUUAGUUACAAACAAACUGUUGGAAGAAACUAUUAAAGAUAUAAGAUCAAGACAUGUAAAUAUCACCAAAAUUAUACUCGAAGCAAUGUUUUAACUCACUGAGCAAAAUUCAAACAUGAUGUCUAUACAUGCAAAAGCUAUUGCAGAAUUUUUAUGCAACUUGAAUGAAAGGUGUGGGCACUAUGAAUUUUCGAUAAGAUGUUUGUAGGAUUGUUCUUUAACCAUAAACAAUUGGUGUAAAUUAAGGGAAGGUUAAACCUCUUAUUACAUUUAACACGUAAUUCGAAUGACCCAAGCCACGGCUUUGAGAGCAGUAUUGUUGCUUCUAAAAUGGAAAGCUUUUGAUAAAAUGUCAAUUUUUCAGACAUACUUAAUAUGGUUUUCGACUGACUUCCACAUAAUAGAGAAGAAAAAGGAAACUAUUUAUCUAAUUGUAGCAACUAAAAUGCAAUGCCAUAAUAACAACACUCAUGCAAUACUGAACAUCUAUGUCACAUUACUGUAUAUAACGUAAAUGCCAAAAUUAAGCAAGAAAACAAACAUAGAUGCUAUCUCCAACAAUUUAAUGUACUAUUGCUUUAAGUUUCUUUGGUUAUGGCCCAGUAAUUUACUAAACAUUUAAGAAAAUGUAAAUCAACUACCAUAGAUAUAGAAUUUUCCAAAGAUAAUACCUUGGCAUAAUAAUCUUUCCAAACUCAGCAUGCAAUCUGAUGACCUCCCAAAUCAAGAGCCUUGAACUUGAUUUUCUCGAUACUCAUCUCCUCUAAUGUUGGAUACUGGGUUCGCUAAAAAUUCAUAGAAACACAGUUAUUUUCUGAUAACUUCAAACCUAUACAAAAGAGAACAAAGGCAAAAUGUUAAAAAAAUGCAUGAAGUCUUUUUUGAAAAAUCCAAAUGUCUACAGAACAACUAAAGAAAAAAUCACUCUCCAUAUUCCUAAGCAGUUUCAGUAAUAAAAAUGAAGAGUAAGAAGAAUCCAUUCUAAUUUUUUCCCCAUCAUUCACAUAAAUUGCUAAAGUCAUGCAUUGGUUCAAGAAUUGAAUGCUAAAUUUCAUCUUUUAAGAUAAAUGAACUUUGAUGGAGAUAAAGUGUGAUAAAUGAGGUCAAGAUAGAUGUUAGAGAUACCAAGUCCUAUCUAAUGCCUAUUAAAAACUUACGUCUCAUGCAGCAUCAUUAGUUUUGCAAACAAAAGUUUAUUCAAAUAUAUAUUCCAUUACACUUUGCACUACUUCAUCUUUCUUGGGAAAGGCGAAGUUAAAUUGACAAUCACCUUUCCAUAAAGCAUCCAGCCAAUGAGAAGAGUUGUUAAGUUGUAUUCACUCUAAAGUAGUAACCACUACUUCCCCCAAGAAAGCACAGAUAAUUGAAACUCUCAUCCAGGAAGGGGCUAUUUUUUUACCUAUAAUUGUAUGUUUCAAGGAAAAUGAAAUAAUUUCAGCUUGUAGACUUUCAGCAAAACUCGAAGCCGAUAUAAUAUUUGAAAAUUUAGUCAACUCCCAAGGAAAUGGCUUGUACUCACAAAUUGCGGUUUAUGUCCUAGCCAUAAGAUCUAGCUUAGAAUUCUUCUUGUCAAAUAAUUUGAACAUUAUUCCUAUCCAAAUGCUUGUCGAUAACUCCAUUCAUAGUUCAUCAUCACUUUUAAAAUAAGCCUAUAAAAAUCCAACAAAAAUGUGAAUGAAAAAUAUGAAUGUUCCUGAUAAUAUCACAAAUUGUUAUGUAAUUCAUUCAUUUAUACUUGCAUUUGCAUAAUUUAUUGAUGCCUAAAUGCACUAAGUACCCUUAUAUUUUAAUUUAGGUUGCAAAUGAAUGAAUAUGGCAAAAAUUAAGAGAAAAGAGUGAAAAAGGACCAAAAUGGAGAAAAGUGAAAGUUCAGGGACUAAAAUGCAAAUACUUUACACUUGUGCUUAAUCUUAUGAUGAAGAUUUGAAAGUGUUAGUGGUCAAGCGGAUGAGAAAAGAGGUCAAAGGGAUGAAAUAUCGUUAAAGUAUGAUCAUACAUCAAUUCUCAGUCAAAGAAGUUACGCAUUGAUUUUUAGCCUCAUAUUGAGACCCUUUUUGACAUGUCAUACGAUCAAAUUAGAAGAAGACAUCUGAAGAAAAGUUGUAUUCUUUUGAGUUAUCUUUCCAACACAACUUGAAUAACCUUAAUCGGGCAUCGGGAGAUGAAGAUAUGUUCAAAAUAUUGAAAAUUAUCCCGCGGAGAAGAAUUUAUACUAUGUGUACGCAUAAGCCUACAGGCCUUGUAAACCUUGCGUACGCGAGAUUCCAAAAAUUCACUACUGACGCCUAAACAAGUCUACUGUGUGUACACACCAUUAGAACCAUGCGUAUGCAUGGUUCAUUCGGGGGCCGAAUCUUAGUUUCCUAUUUUCAAUCAAACUCUUAUGGUAACUGAAUUUUUCAAGACUUUUAAACCUUGAAUCGACCCAGAAUGUAAGGAGACACCUCCAGACCCAUUCUUUUCACCUUGGUGCUCAAAAAACUCCAUGGAAAACUAAGGAAUUUAGUGAAGCUACAAAGGACCUCAAUCAAUUUUGGUGAUUUCGACAUCCGUCAAUUCAUGUAAUUGAGUUUUUCAUUGUUAAACAGUUUUAGAAUCAGAUUUCCAUGUUUUGAAUGAGUUUUGACAUUAGUUCAACAUUUAUUAGAAUUUCCAUAGACUUAGUCACGCUUUUUCUAUCAAAUAUUAGAAAUAUUUGUUGAAUUGCAAUUUCAAUUACUUAAAAUUAUUAGUGUGAUUCUCUACUGCCUUAUGCCUAUGUAUAUGAUCGUUUUUGAAUCUGAUUUCAAUAAUUAAUUGUGCGCAUUUGUUUUUAGGAAACUUGAUUUCUAGAGUUACCAUAAAAUUGAAUUUGUGCUUAACGUUAUAUCUUCCGAUUAAAGAGUUACAUUUAAUGUCUUUAAUCGAGUGAAAACAUAUGAAUUGAUGAUGUUGAAUGACACAAACCAGUUAGGGAAAUUCCAACGCUUCACUUUCAUAUACAUUGAUUUAAUUUCACUACGUAAACUUUGAUUUUAUUCAAACUGUAAAAUCAUUACAAAUUUCGGGAGAACCAUCACCUUUGGAUUAUUUUCCAUCUUCUUGUGGACACGACACUCCAAAGUUGUACUACAAUUACCACGUUACAUUUUGGACGUAAUCAGUUCCUCUUUAGACCUCUGCUUUCCAAAACAGUGAAGCACGAUAAAGAAAGCAAAAAUUGAUGGAAGCCAAGUCUCAAAAUAUAUGAUUCAUUAUAACAAAUAUUUAGGAUUAGAUAGUUUCCAUUUUUACCACUAAAUUUUACAACUUCUAACUUAAUACAGUUAUUUCAUGGUAGAUUUCAGUCAGCUCCAGUUUUGCAAGCCAUUGAACUAAUAUACAAUGUGUAGAAUCUACAAUUUAGAAGACGAAGAAGAUAAAACUGUAAUUCAUUUUCCACAUACAAUUAAGCGUAAGCAGUUUCCAUCAUUUUCAGUAAGACUGUUGAUAGAAAUCAAUUUCUCUUAUCAUCACUCAAUCUACAGGAUCACAGCAAAACAGAGGAGAAUCAAAUGAAUACUUAUAAUGCUUCACUUCAAAUUCUAAUAUAAAGUUGAAACUAUUCAAAGCAAAUCCAUGAGCUAUGUUGCUCGGACUCUCCAUUUUUGGCCAAGUAUUCGUGUCAACACGACACGACACGGAUAUGGACACGGGAUACGGGUCGGAUACUCGGCUUUGAACUUGGACACGGCUGGAAAUGGAGGAAUGAAAAUGACAGCAGCAUUAAACCGAUAAUUGCAAACAGGCAGACAGGGAAGAUGAGGGUUGGAGCUUUGGAGGAGAUAAAAUUUCUGGUGCAUUAAUUGCUAUUUGAUGAGUUAGUCUCUUUCCCCGUAAAUUGCACCAGAUUUGAAGAUUCCUCCUAUAAUGGAUCAACUCUUGGAAUUGCAAAAGACGUUUUAUCUGCCUCCUUGGAAUUUUUGCACCAGAAAACUCCACAUACUUUUCAUCUUCCUCUACAGAAAAUUAUUUUCUUCAAUCGAAAAUUCAAUCAAAAAAUUUCAGAAUAUUGCUUACUCCUAAUUUUCAAGUAUGAAUCCAUCUAAUUCAAUAAAAAAAUUCCAGAAUUAUGUUUUGUUUGAAUUUGGAUUUUUAUCAUUAUAUGAAACAUUUGUAUUGUGGUAAUUUGCCUUUUUGCUUUAAUAUUGUUGUUGUGUACUUUAAUUGAACAAUUUUUAAAAAAAUUGUAGGACGUAUCUCCGUACCCGUAUCCACAAUUCGGAUCCUUUUUAACCGCAUCCCCAUAUCUUAAUUUUAAAAAUGAGAAGAAUCCGAUCCCAAGAUAUGUACCCGUAUCCGACACCCGCACCCGAUUCCGAGCAACAUAGUCCAUGAGAAAUGAAAGAUUUCAGUUGAGGUAUCAAAAUACCGCAAGAGAUGGAGAUCUAUUCAGCUUGGAAAGUGAAAUCGCCAAGAGACCAUUGCUACUAUUAUGACUAUCACUUCUGCUAGAAAUCGAAGACGAAUAAGGUGGUCCGAACCGGAAACCCAAAUCAUCAUCUUCCUAAUCCUCAUCAUCAUUUGGAGUUUUUAAGGUCAUC
Molecule: long non-coding RNA, 4903 nt
Filed under: Olea europaea subsp. europaea
Lineage: Eukaryota; Viridiplantae; Streptophyta; Magnoliopsida; Lamiales; Oleaceae
Source: RNAcentral